Molecule: ribosomal RNA, 468 nt
Filed under: uncultured bacterium
Lineage: Bacteria
Description: partial 16S ribosomal RNA
Rfam family: Bacterial small subunit ribosomal RNA
Source: RNAcentral
GACGAACGCUGGCGGCGUGCUUAACACAUGCAAGUUGAACGGAAAGGCCCUGCUUUUGUGGGGUGCUCGAGUGGCGAACGGGUGAGUAACACGUGAGUAACCUGCCCUUGACUUUGGGAUAACUUCAGGAAACUGGGGCUAAUACCGGAUAGGAGCUCCUGCUGCAUGGUGGGGGUUGGAAAGUUUCGGCGGUUGGGGAUGGACUCGCGGCUUAUCAGCUUGUUGGUGGGGUAGUGGCUUACCAAGGCUUUGACGGGUAGCCGGCCUGAGAGGGUGACCGGCCACAUUGGGACUGAGAUACGGCCCAGACUCCUAAGGGAGGCAGCAGUGGGGAAUAUUGCACAAUGGGCGGAAGCCUGAUGCAGCAACGCCGCGUGCGGGAUGACGGCCUUCGGGCUGUAAACCGCUUUCGCCUGUGACGAAGCGUGAGUGACGGUAAUGGGUAAAGAAGCACCGGCUAACUACGUG